Molecule: ribosomal RNA, 271 nt
Filed under: uncultured bacterium
Lineage: Bacteria
Description: partial 16S ribosomal RNA
Rfam family: Bacterial small subunit ribosomal RNA
Source: RNAcentral
UACGUAGGUGGCAAGCGUUGUCCGGAUUUAUUGGGCGUAAAGGGCGCGCAGGCGGUUCGUUAAGUCCGAGGUGAAAUCUCCUGGCUCAACUGGGAGGGGUCUUCGGAUACUGGCGGGCUUGAGGUGAGCAGAGGUGAGCGGAAUUCUGGGUGUAGUGGUGAAAUGCGUAGAUAUCCAGAGGAACACCAGUGGCGAAGGCGGCUCACUGGGCUCCACCUGACGCUGAGGCGCGAAAGCGUGGGGAGCGAACCGGAUUAGAACCUACGGUAGU